GGCUGUACGGUGGCACAGUUGGUAGCACUGUUGCCUUGCACACAAGAAGGUUCUGGGUUCAACUCCCAGCCGGGGGUCU
Non-coding RNA from Ataeniobius toweri, 79 nucleotides. NCBI's taxonomy places the organism in Eukaryota, Metazoa, Chordata, Actinopteri, Cyprinodontiformes, Goodeidae. The record is from the annotation of a GenBank genome assembly.